CCCAGGUCCGAGUGCCGCCGCCCGUAGGCCGCCACCACCAGCGCCCGCAGAGCUCCCAACCCCGAGCUCCUCCUCCCGUGCGCCUUCUCCCCAGCCUUCCUCACGCGUCGUCGGGCGACCGGCGCCGCCACCAGCGACCAUCCAGGUUACGCCACCGUCCCCUGCCUUCUCUCUUUCCUCUCUCUCUCUAAUCUCCUCAUCUCUCCUUCUCCCCAGGAGCUCAGCGCCAGCGCCAUGGAUGCCCAGUCCUCGAGCUCACCUUGGAGGUUCGAACGCCGCCACGGGACCUCCACCGGCCAGAUCCGGCGCCUCCCUCCCCGGAUCCGCGCGCCCUCCACCUCCUCUACCCGAUCUGGCGCCCCACCCACCUCCCCACCACGCCCCGCGCGCCGCUGGCCGCCUCCUGCCCCGUCCCGCCUCAGUGCGCGCCGCCGGGCGCCUUAUGCCUCCCAAUCCCAUCUCCUCCUCACCCGCGGCUUCUUCGCCGUUCACGGCUCCCGAAGCUCGAGCGGGCCGAUCUACGCGUCGGUGACCUCGUGGGAGGCAGAGGAUGGGAUGGUGUGCUGUGCUCGAGAAGAGUGGGCUCGAGUAAGGGGAUUGGAGGGUGGCGUCGGCGGGCUCGCGGACGGGGAUGGAGAGGGCGGUUGCUUGCAAGAUCAAGGCUGGGCAGGCCGGAAUUGAUCUAAAAAAACAGGAUCGUGGCAGAUUGUUAUCGCUAGCAAGGACUCACUGAUCUCUGAUGUGGCUCUCAAUGGUGAUGCGAUGCAAAAUGGACAAAUCCAUCAUCGUUAGUCUGCUGCUGUUGGCUUCUUCUGAGCUACUAAUAUCAGAUUAGCGCUGAUUUGGGGAGUAAAGCUCUUCGAGCAAGUGACAAAAAUCAAGUCUUCUGAGCAUCUCAAAGAUGGCGACCUGAAGUCGUUUGACUGGCAGCUUAAAAGCAAUUAAAGUGCACAGAGAAAUCAAACUUUUAAAGCCACUCUUGCCAUUUGUGGACUGUUCCUGCUUGUUGGUGACUGCUUUUGCGAGUAUGUUCACUCUCAUCUACUCCCUUCGUUCCAAAAUAGAUGAGUCUACUUUGUAUUAACUUUAGUACAAAGUUACAAAGUUGAGUCAUCUAUUUUGGAACGGAGGGAGUAGCAAUGAAAUAUUUUGUCUCUGUUGCGCAGCCGCUGAAAGGGCAAACUCCAGAUCCUAGAUAUCUAUGGGUUUUGGGUGCCCUCUGGGGUUACCUGAAUGUUCCUAUUUCUGUUUCUUCUUCCCUUCUUAGUUUUCUUUAUGAUGUAGAUGAACAAUUGGUUUGUGUUAAUAGAAUUCAGAGAGGAGGCUCUCUUUUAGAAAAUCUAAUGAGGGGAGACUGAAUGACCGAGUGUAGAUGACACUGACCAAGUUUAGUAGUAUGUGAUCCUACAUGUCGCUCCAUUAAUUCUUCUAGAUAAUUCCUGUAUGCUUAACUGUUUCCUCAUUCAGUCCAAUAACGAUGACAGAUCCGAGGUGGUAUCCUUUGUAGCUGAAGGAGAAGAUGUAUGCAAGGGUGUAUUCCAUAUACUGUUAUAUCUUUGUGUCA
Molecule: long non-coding RNA, 1564 nt
Organism: Triticum dicoccoides
Lineage: Eukaryota; Viridiplantae; Streptophyta; Magnoliopsida; Poales; Poaceae
Exons: 3
Source: RefSeq, a predicted model, not a curated record